UUUAAAAGGUGAGCAAAAAACUACCCAUUCAGCUCAUUUUUUUCUCCGACUUGAGAUGGCCUUCAAAUUUAUCAUGUGCUUGUUUUGCCAGAAUACAAGCAAAAAUGGAUCUCUAGCUGGAAUCUCAUCUAGGCUGAAAUUCGGAUGUCAUGGCUUCCACAGCCCAGAGCCAGCAUGGCCCGCUGACGUGGCUGUCGGAGUCGGGCUCCGUGCUGACCCAGCAGUGUGCAGCCUGGUCCUGAGAGAUGAACGCUUCCAGAGUGCGUAGCGUGAAAUUCUCCUGAUGUGCGACACCCAGGAAGAGUAAGGUAGCCCAAGAAAAAAAGCACUGUGAAAUACAUGUAAGAAAAUUUAGCCUCUCUAUUUCUGAGGAUCUGAGCAAAAGAUUAAAGGAAGAAAAGUUGAUAGCAAGUAGGCUUCAUCUUAAAAAUGAUGUUGCCUCUUUAAAAAGGGAAAUACAUCCUAGGGUUCCUAGCACAUUUCUGCUACUGGCAGAAAAUCCUACCUAUAAUUAGGUACAAACACAAAAAAAGGAUAUUUUUCCCCCAAUGGAUAAAAAAUACUCUGUCCUUGUGCCUUAUUAAUCAGUUCCACAGAUCUAUCAAGGACGUCAAUGUAUUUUAUUCCCCUCUCCUAAGAAAAGGAAGGCAUUAAUCUUGUCAUAAUUGCCAACCAAUCAGUGAUAAAACUGUGAUUUCCAUUCCCGGUGUCCUGAUUCCUGAGAAAAGGUAGCAACCUAGUCAUUUGAGUCUUCCAGGAUCUUCCUAAAAACAAAAAAUAUUAGUUGUUCUAAACAGCAAUAUAAUUUUAUGAUUAUUUUUUAAUCUUUUAGUGGCAAAUAAUUUUACUAUGUAAAACUGAUGUAUUACAUUUCAGCAAGGUCAGACAUGCAGUUACUGUGGCAAUUAAUGUUGGAUAUUCAUUGUUAAACUCCCUGAGGACGGCAGUGUGACUUCUGUAACAUGAAUACCAAUGUGUAAUUGCUAUUUUUCAUUUCUCCAAAGGGCUUCUUUUGUUAUCCAUAUGGCUGAAGUGAAAUAAGGUGCCUGGAGAGACAGGCAUAUAUUGACCGAAAAAAAAAAAAAUAAUAAGGGGGCAGAAUGUAGGUCUGGGAUACUGAGACACACAGAAAUAAUUUAGUAAACUGCAGAUUUGAAAGGA
Equus caballus (horse) is the source of this 1161-nucleotide non-coding RNA. The record is from RefSeq and is a predicted model, not a curated record. NCBI's taxonomy places the organism in Eukaryota, Metazoa, Chordata, Mammalia, Perissodactyla, Equidae.